RNAcentral lists this ribosomal RNA (253 nucleotides) under uncultured bacterium. RNAcentral describes it as "partial 16S ribosomal RNA". It matches the Rfam family "Bacterial small subunit ribosomal RNA", at positions 524 to 776 of the family's 1533-position model. The record is from RNAcentral.
AACGAAGGUGGCGAGCGUUGUUCGGAAUCACUGGGCAUAAAGCGCACGUAGGCGGUGCCGUAAGUCGGAUGUGAAAUCCCUCGGCCUAACCGAGGAACUGCGUCCGAUACUGCGGUGCUUGAGGAUCAGAGGGGUGCAUGGAAUUUCCGGUGGAGCGGUGAAAUGCGUUGAUAUCGGAAGGAACUCCGGCGGCGAAAGCGAUGCACUGGCUGAUUUCUGACGCUGAGGUGCGAAAGCCAGGGGAGCAAACGGG